UACCGAGUUCAUGCCCUUACGGGUAGACCUCCCACCCUAUGUUAUAUUACCUUUGUUGCUUUGGCGGGCCGCCCGGCUUCGGCCAGGCUACCGGCUCCAGCUGGUAAGCGCUCGCCAGAGGACCCUCAACUCUGAAUAUCAGUGUCGUCCGAGUACUAUAAAAUAGUUAAAACUUUCAACAACGGAUCUCUUGGUUCUGGCAUCGAUGAAGAACGCAGCGAAAUGCGAUAAGUAAUGUGAAUUGCAGAAUUCAGUGAAUCAUCGAAUCUUUGAACGCACCUUGCGCCCUUUGGCUAUUCCGAAGGGCAUGCCUGUUUGAGUAUCAUGAACACCUCAACUCUCGUGGUUUGCCAUGAUGAGCUUGGACUCUGGGGGUCUUGCUGGCCUUAUGGUCAGCUCCUCUCAAAUGAAUCAGCUUCCCAGUGUUUGGUGGCAUCACAGGUGUGAUAACUAUCUACGCUUGUGGUGUCCUCCCAGGUAACCUUCAGCGAUGGAGGUCACUGGAGCUAAUAAAUGCACAUCUCUCAUCGUAGAGACGGCUUUUUAGAUGUUUG
Molecule: unclassified non-coding RNA, 554 nt
Filed under: Thelephoraceae sp. 29 CG-2012
Lineage: Eukaryota; Fungi; Basidiomycota; Agaricomycetes; Thelephorales; Thelephoraceae
Description: sequence contains ITS1, 5.8S rRNA gene, ITS2
Rfam family: 5.8S ribosomal RNA (bases 171-325)
Source: RNAcentral